CCAAGGUAACGAUCCGUAGCUGGUCUGAGAGGACGAUCAGCCACACUGGGACUGAGAUACGGCCCAGACUCCUACGGGAGGCAGCAGUGGGGAAUAUUGGACAAUGGGGGAAACCCUGAUCCAGUCAUGCCGCGUGUGUGAAGAAGGCCUUAGGGUUGUAAAGCACUUUCAGCGAGGAAGAAAAAAUUAUAAAAUAAUAAAUUAUAAGUAUGACGUUACUCGCAGAAGAAGCACCGGCUAACUCCGUGCCAGCAGCCGCGGUAAAACGGAGGGUGCAAGCGUUAAUCGGAAUUACUGGGCGUAAAGGGCAUGUAGGUGGUUUGUUAAGCCUUAUGUGAAAGCCCUAUGCUCAACAUAGGAAAGGGAUAAGGAACUGACAAGCUAGAGUGCAGUAGAGGAAGGUAGAAUUCCAGGUGUAGCGGUGAAAUGCGUAGAUAUCUGGAGGAAUACCAGUGGCGAAGGCGACCUUCUGGACUGACACUGACGCUGAGGUGCGAAAGCGUGGGUAGCAAACAGGAUUAGAUACCCUGGUAGUCCACGCUGUAAACGAUAUCAACUAGCCGUUGGAUUAUUAAAUAAUUUUGUGGCGUAGCUAACGCGAUAAGUUGAUCGCCUGGGGAGUACGGCCGCAAGGCUAAAACUCAAAUGAAUUGACGGGGGCCCGCACAAGCGGUGGAGCAUGUGGUUUAAUUCGAUGCAACGCGAAGAACCUUACCUACUCUUGACAUCCAAAGUACUUUCCAGAGAUGGAAGGGUGCCUUAGGGAACUUUGAGACAGGUGCUGCAUGGCUGUCGUCAGCUCGUGUUGUGAAAUGUUGGGUUAAGUCCCGUAACGAGCGCAACCCUUGUCCUUAUUUGCCAGCGCGUAAUGGUGGGAACUUUAAGGAGACUGCUGGUGAUAAACCGGAGGAAGGUGGGGACGACGUCAAGUCAUCAU
This 937-nucleotide ribosomal RNA is filed under the name Candidatus Portiera aleyrodidarum (primary endosymbiont of Bemisia tabaci). RNAcentral describes it as "bacterial SSU rRNA". It matches the Rfam family "Bacterial small subunit ribosomal RNA", at positions 268 to 1196 of the family's 1533-position model. Lineage: Bacteria; Pseudomonadati; Pseudomonadota; Gammaproteobacteria; Johnevansiales (SeqCode); Johnevansiaceae (SeqCode). The record is from RNAcentral.